This is a long non-coding RNA of Balaenoptera acutorostrata (minke whale), 486 nucleotides long. RefSeq lists it as uncharacterized. NCBI's taxonomy places the organism in Eukaryota, Metazoa, Chordata, Mammalia, Artiodactyla, Balaenopteridae. The transcript is spliced from 3 exons. The record is from RefSeq and is a predicted model, not a curated record.
CAUUUCUUGUGCACUUGAAAAGAAUGUGUAUUCUGCUGUUUUGCAUGGUAUGUCCUACUCUGAAGCUGCUCUGGUCUCCCUGCUGCCACCCCAGGUCUCUGGAGACACAAUGACCCCUGACUACUUGGAACAAGAUGUGAAGAAAUCCAGUAUCCUUUUAGUUCAAGUGGGAUAACCAUUCCCAAGGAAUUAUGGUAAAUCUGCAGGCAGACCACGUGGGCAAGAGAAUAUCCAAUUGCAGGUGGACCACACAAGCAAAACCGCAUCCCAAGGAAGAUCAGAGAGAGUCAGCAGGUCUGCAUGCAUGGAAAAAUGAUGAAGAAUCUGACCUCCUGCCUUAAUGUUUAACUGAUAUUGUUUCCCCCCUUUUUCCCUUUAAAAAUUGUCAUGGCAGAGCAGAAUCUUCAGAGUUGGUUUCUGGACGUGAAUCCACCUUCUCCCUAGAUUGCUGGCUUUUCUGAAUAAAGCAUCUUUCCUCUCUGCUGA